GGGCCCGCACAAGCGGUGGAGCAUGUGGUUUAAUUCGAUGAUACGCGAGGAACCUUACCAGGGCUUAAAUGUAGUCUGACAGCUUUAGAGAUAGAGUUUUCUUCGGACAGAUUACAAGGUGCUGCAUGGUUGUCGUCAGCUCGUGCCGUGAGGUGUCAGGUUAAGUCCUAUAACGAGCGCAACCCCUGUCGUUAGUUGCCAGCAUGUAAAGAUGGGGACUCUAACGAGACUGCCGGUGCAAACCGCGAGGAAGGUGGGAUGACGUCAAAUCAUCACGGCCCUUACGUCCUGGGCCACACACGUGCUACAAUGGCCGGUACAGAGAGCAGCCACUACGCGAGUAGGAGCGAAUCUUCAAAGCCGAUCACAGUUCGGAUCGGAUCUGCAACUCGACUCCGUG
RNAcentral lists this ribosomal RNA (400 nucleotides) under uncultured bacterium. RNAcentral describes it as "bacterial SSU rRNA". It matches the Rfam family "Bacterial small subunit ribosomal RNA", at positions 917 to 1322 of the family's 1533-position model. The record is from RNAcentral.